Molecule: ribosomal RNA, 399 nt
Filed under: uncultured bacterium
Lineage: Bacteria
Description: partial 16S ribosomal RNA
Rfam family: Bacterial small subunit ribosomal RNA
Source: RNAcentral
AAUCUUGCGCAAUGGGCGAAAGCCUGACGCAGCCAUGCCGCGUGAAUGAUGAAGGUCUUAGGAUUGUAAAAUUCUUUCACCGGGGACGAUGAUGACGGUACCCGGCGAAGAAGCCCCGGCUAACUUCGUGCCAGCAGCCGCGGUAAUACGAAGGGGGCUAGCGUUGCUCGGAAUUACUGGGCGUAAAGGGAGCGUAGGCGGACAUUUAAGUCAGGGGUGAAAUCCCGGGGCUCAACCUCGGAAUUGCCUUUGAUACUGGGUGUCUUGAGUAUGAGAGAGGUAUGUGGAACUCCGAGUGUAGAGGUGAAAUUCGUAGAUAUUCGGAAGAACACCAGUGGCGAAGGCGACAUACUGGCUCAUUACUGACGCUGAGGCUCGAAAGCGUGGGGAGCAAACAGG